RNAcentral lists this ribosomal RNA (254 nucleotides) under uncultured bacterium. RNAcentral describes it as "partial 16S ribosomal RNA". It matches the Rfam family "Bacterial small subunit ribosomal RNA", at positions 524 to 776 of the family's 1533-position model. The record is from RNAcentral.
UACGGGGGGGGCAAGCGUUGUUCGGAUUUACUGGGCGUAAAGGGCGCGUAGGCGGUCAGCACAAGUCAGUUGUGAAAUCUCCGGGCUUAACUCGGAAAGGUCAACUGAUACUGUGCGACUAGAGUGCAGAAGGGGCAACUGGAAUUCUCGGUGUAGUGGUGAAAUGCGUAGAUAUCGGGAGGAACACCAGUGGCGAAGGCGACUACCUGGCCUGUUCUUGACGCUGAGGCGCGAAAGCUAGGGGAGCAAACGGG